RNAcentral lists this ribosomal RNA (480 nucleotides) under gamma proteobacterium Md 211. RNAcentral describes it as "bacterial SSU rRNA". It matches the Rfam family "Bacterial small subunit ribosomal RNA", at positions 8 to 472 of the family's 1533-position model. Lineage: Bacteria; Pseudomonadati; Pseudomonadota; Gammaproteobacteria. The record is from RNAcentral.
AGAGUUUUGAUCCUGGCUCAGAUUGAACGCUGGCGGCAGGCCUAACACAUGCAAGUCGAGCGGAAACGAGUUAUCUGAACCUUCGGGGAACGAUAACGGCGUCGAGCGGCGGACGGGUGAGUAAUGCCUAGGAAAUUGCCCUGAUGUGGGGGAUAACCAUUGGAAACGAUGGCUAAUACCGCAUAAUGCCUACGGGCCAAAGAGGGGGACCUUCGGGCCUCUCGCGUCAGGAUAUGCCUAGGUGGGAUUAGCUAGUUGGUGAGGUAAUGGCUCACCAAGGCGACGAUCCCUAGCUGGUCUGAGAGGAUGAUCAGCCACACUGGAACUGAGACACGGUCCAGACUCCUACGGGAGGCAGCAGUGGGGAAUAUUGCACAAUGGGCGCAAGCCUGAUGCAGCCAUGCCGCGUGUGUGAAGAAGGCCUUCGGGUUGUAAAGCACUUUCAGUCGUGAGGAAGGUGGUGUAGUUAAUAGCUGCAUU